This 271-nucleotide ribosomal RNA is filed under the name uncultured bacterium. RNAcentral's name for it is "partial 16S ribosomal RNA". It matches the Rfam family "Bacterial small subunit ribosomal RNA", at positions 524 to 794 of the family's 1533-position model. The record is from RNAcentral.
AACGUAGGAGGCGAGCGUUAUCCGGAUUUACUGGGCGUAAAGCGCGUGCAGGCGGUUCGGCAAGUUGGAUGUGAAAGCUCCUGGCUCAACUAGGAGAGGUCGUUCAAUACUACCGAACUUGAGGGCAUCAGAGGAAGGUGGAAUUCCCGGUGUAGUGGUGAAAUGCGUAGAUAUCGGGAGGAACACCAGUGGCGAAGGCGACCUUCUGGGAUGUUCCUGACGCUCAGACGCGAAGGCUAGGGUAGCAAACGGGAUUAGAAACCCGUGUAGU